GCACCCACAGCACGUCAUCUCAAUCAGCACAGGCCUCGCAUUUCAGCUGCAGCAAGUCACGGAGUAAAGAUCACAGACAGGAUGGACCUAAAUAUGAGCGAAGCACUGCUCCCAAGUUAAGUGUGUUAGCUACAAUUUAGUGGGCAAACUGGAUGGUUAAGGCCCAGAAGUAAUGCUGUCCGACCCCUCCUCCUCUUCCUCCUCCUCCUCCUCCUCCACCUUCUGCUUACCACCGCCCUGCUACUGCUUCAGAGGGUACGGGAGGCAGCUGUCCACUCAGUACACAAGAGAGACUGGAAUGUUCCAGAGAGGCACCAUUGAGUUCACCAGAGCGGCGUCUUUGUGUGAACAGACUCACCACUGAGGGAGGUGAGCAGAUCCAAAUGUAUGAAAUGCCAUCAGAAGAGUUUCAAAGAAAAAUAGGAGAGAGUAAUUAAAAGGCCAAGUGUGUUCAAAAAGCUGUGUUCAUUUUUAAUAGUAAACUAUGUAGUUUUUUCAUAGUUACAAUAAAAGAUUUAUUGUACAAGCUA
Astyanax mexicanus (Mexican tetra) is the source of this 530-nucleotide long non-coding RNA. RefSeq lists it as uncharacterized. The record is from RefSeq and is a predicted model, not a curated record. The transcript is spliced from 2 exons. Lineage: Eukaryota; Metazoa; Chordata; Actinopteri; Characiformes; Acestrorhamphidae.